GCUUCGGUGGCUUAAAGGUUAAAGCGCUGCUCUGAAGAAGCAGAUAUGGGAGUUCAAUUCUCUCCCGAGGCA
RNAcentral lists this transfer RNA (72 nucleotides) under Phellinus viticola. RNAcentral's name for it is "Fuscoporia viticola tRNA-Phe". It matches the Rfam family "tRNA". From Rfam's summary of the family: Transfer RNA (tRNA) molecules are approximately 80 nucleotides in length. Their secondary structure includes four short double-helical elements and three loops (D, anti-codon, and T loops). Lineage: Eukaryota; Fungi; Basidiomycota; Agaricomycetes; Hymenochaetales; Hymenochaetaceae. The record is from RNAcentral.